GUUAGGAAUAUUGGACAAUGGGCGCAAGCCUGAUCCAGCCAUGCCGCGUGAGUGAUGAAGGCCUUCGGGUCGUAAACAGCUUUUGUAUACGAAGAAUAUGACGGUAAUAUACGAAUAAGGGUCGGCUAACUACGUGCCAGCAGCCGCGGUCAUACGUAGGACCCAAGCGUUAUCCGGAGUGACUGGGCGUAAAGAGUUGCGUAGGCGGCUUAUUAAGCGAGUAGUGAAAUCUGGUGGCUCAACCAUCAACACAUUGCUCGAACUGAUAGGCUUGAGAAUGGUAGAGGUAGUUGGAAUUUCUUGUGUAGGAGUGAAAUCCGUAGAUAUAAGAAGGAACACCAAUGGCGUAGGCAGACUACUGGACCAUUUCUGACGCUGAGGCACGAAAGCGUGGGGAGCGAACCGGAUUAGAUACCCCAGUAGUCC
RNAcentral lists this ribosomal RNA (426 nucleotides) under uncultured bacterium. RNAcentral describes it as "partial 16S ribosomal RNA". It matches the Rfam family "Bacterial small subunit ribosomal RNA", at positions 354 to 796 of the family's 1533-position model. The record is from RNAcentral.